RNAcentral lists this ribosomal RNA (820 nucleotides) under Lactiplantibacillus plantarum. RNAcentral describes it as "bacterial SSU rRNA". It matches the Rfam family "Bacterial small subunit ribosomal RNA", at positions 60 to 847 of the family's 1533-position model. Lineage: Bacteria; Bacillati; Bacillota; Bacilli; Lactobacillales; Lactobacillaceae. The record is from RNAcentral.
CGACGAACUCUGGUAUUGAUUGGUGCUUGCAUCAUGAUUUACAUUUGAGUGAGUGGCGAACUGGUGAGUAACACGUGGGAAACCUGCCCAGAAGCGGGGGAUAACACCUGGAAACAGAUGCUAAUACCGCAUAACAACUUGGACCGCAUGGUCCGAGUUUGAAAGAUGGCUUCGGCUAUCACUUUUGGAUGGUCCCGCGGCGUAUUAGCUAGAUGGUGGGGUAACGGCUCACCAUGGCAAUGAUACGUAGCCGACCUGAGAGGGUAAUCGGCCACAUUGGGACUGAGACACGGCCCAAACUCCUACGGGAGGCAGCAGUAGGGAAUCUUCCACAAUGGACGAAAGUCUGAUGGAGCAACGCCGCGUGAGUGAAGAAGGGUUUCGGCUCGUAAAACUCUGUUGUUAAAGAAGAACAUAUCUGAGAGUAACUGUUCAGGUAUUGACGGUAUUUAACCAGAAAGCCACGGCUAACUACGUGCCAGCAGCCGCGGUAAUACGUAGGUGGCAAGCGUUGUCCGGAUUUAUUGGGCGUAAAGCGAGCGCAGGCGGUUUUUUAAGUCUGAUGUGAAAGCCUUCGGCUCAACCGAAGAAGUGCAUCGGAAACUGGGAAACUUGAGUGCAGAAGAGGACAGUGGAACUCCAUGUGUAGCGGUGAAAUGCGUAGAUAUAUGGAAGAACACCAGUGGCGAAGGCGGCUGUCUGGUCUGUAACUGACGCUGAGGCUCGAAAGUAUGGGUAGCAAACAGGAUUAGAUACCCUGGUAGUCCAUACCGUAAACGAUGAAUGCUAAGUGUUGGAGGGUUUCCGCCCUUUCAGUGCU